Molecule: ribosomal RNA, 253 nt
Filed under: uncultured bacterium
Lineage: Bacteria
Description: partial 16S ribosomal RNA
Rfam family: Bacterial small subunit ribosomal RNA
Source: RNAcentral
UACGUAGGGUGCGAGCGUUGUCCGGAAUUAUUGGGCGUAAAGGGCUCGUAGGCGGUCUGUCGCGUCGGGAGUGAAAACUCGGGGCUUAACUCCGAGCCUGCUUCUGAUACGGGCAGACUAGAGGUAUGCAGGGGAGAAUGGAAUUCCUGGUGUAGCGGUGAAAUGCGCAGAUAUCAGGAGGAACACCGGUGGCGAAGGCGGUUCUCUAGUACGGUACUGACGCUGAGACGCGAAAGCGUGGGGAGCGAACAGG